RNAcentral lists this ribosomal RNA (520 nucleotides) under uncultured Glomeromycotina. RNAcentral's name for it is "SSU rRNA". It matches the Rfam family "Eukaryotic small subunit ribosomal RNA", at positions 569 to 1088 of the family's 1831-position model. Lineage: Eukaryota; Fungi; Glomeromycota. The record is from RNAcentral.
AGCAGCCGCGGUAAUUCCAGCUCCAAUAGCGUAUAUUAAAGUUGUUGCAGUUAAAAAGCUCGUAGUUGAAUUUCGGGGUUAGUAGAUUGGUCAUGCCUCUGGUAUGCACUGGUCUUACUGAUUCCUCCUUCCUGAUGAACCGUAAUGCCAUUAAUUUGGUGUUGCGGGGAAACUGGACUGUUACUUUGAAAAAUUAGAGUGUUUAAAGCAGGCUAACGCUUGAAUACAUUAGCAUGGAAUAAUGAAAUAGGACGUUCGAUCUUAUUUUGUUGGUUUCUAGGAUUGACGUAAUGAUUAAUAGGGAUAGUUGGGGGCAUUAGUAUUCAAUUGUCAGAGGUGAAAUUCUUGGAUUUAUUGAAGACUAACUACUGCGAAAGCAUUUGCCAAGGAUGUUUUCUAUUAAUACAAGAACGAAAGUUAGGGGAUCGAAGACGAUCAGAUACCGUCGUAGUCUUAACCAUAAACUAUGCCGACUAGGGAUCGGAUGAUGUUAAUUUUUAAUUGACUCAUUCGGUCGCCU